This 497-nucleotide ribosomal RNA is filed under the name uncultured bacterium. RNAcentral describes it as "partial 16S ribosomal RNA". It matches the Rfam family "Bacterial small subunit ribosomal RNA", at positions 28 to 507 of the family's 1533-position model. The record is from RNAcentral.
GAUGAACGCUGGCGGCGUGCCUAAUACAUGCAAGUCGAGCGAACGGACGAGAAGCUUGCUUCUCUGAUGUUAGCGGCGGACGGGUGAGUAACACGUGGAUAGCCUACCUAUAAGACUGGGAUAACUUCGGGAAACCGGAGCUAAUACCGGAUAAUAUUUUGAACCGCAUGGUUCAAAAGUGAAAGACGGUCUUGCUGUCACUUAUAGAUGGAUCCGCGCUGCAUUAGCUAGUUGGUAAGGUAACGGCUUACCAAGGCAACGAUGCAUAGCCUACCUGAGAGGGUGAUCGGCCACACUGGAACUGAGACACGGUCCAGACUCCUACGGGAGGCAGCAGUAGGGAAUCUUCCGCAAUGGGCGAAAGCCUGACGGAGCAACGCCGCGUGAGUGAUGAAGGUCUUCGGAUCGUAAAACUCUGUUAUUAGGGAAGAACAUAUGUGUAAGUAACUGUGCACAUCUUGACGGUACCUAAUCAGAAAGCCACGGCUAACUACGUG